RNAcentral lists this ribosomal RNA (253 nucleotides) under uncultured bacterium. Its description in RNAcentral is "partial 16S ribosomal RNA". It matches the Rfam family "Bacterial small subunit ribosomal RNA", at positions 524 to 776 of the family's 1533-position model. The record is from RNAcentral.
CACGAACCGUGCGAACGUUAUUCGGAAUUACUGGGCUUAAAGAGUUCGUAGGCGGCGUGUUAAGUUGGGUGUGAAAUCCCUUGGCUCAACCAAGGAAUUGCGCUCAAAACUAGCAUGCUUGAGGGAGACAGGGGUGAGCGGAACUGAUGGUGGAGCGGUGAAAUGCGUAGAUAUCAUCAGGAACACCGGUGGCGAAGGCGGCUCACUGGGUCUCUUCUGACGCUGAGGAACGAAAGCUAGGGGAGCGAACGGG